GGCCGAGUGGCGAAAUUGGCAGACGCACGGGACUUAAAAUCCCGGGGAGGUUUAACCCUCCGUGCGGGUUCGAUACCCGCCUCGGCCA
RNAcentral lists this transfer RNA (88 nucleotides) under Planctomycetaceae bacterium. RNAcentral's name for it is "tRNA-Leu". It matches the Rfam family "tRNA". From Rfam's summary of the family: Transfer RNA (tRNA) molecules are approximately 80 nucleotides in length. Their secondary structure includes four short double-helical elements and three loops (D, anti-codon, and T loops). Lineage: Bacteria; Pseudomonadati; Planctomycetota; Planctomycetia; Planctomycetales; Planctomycetaceae. RNAcentral also lists the same sequence under 3 other names. The record is from RNAcentral.